GCCGCCCCCUCGCCGCCCCCUCGCCCCCGCCUUCCGGGUUCCGGCCGGCCCCGCGGGCCCCCGAACCCUUUCUGUGGCGGUAGCCUUGGGGAGCCGUGGGCGCCUGGCGCUCCACACGCCUUGCCUCCCGUGUCUCCUACCUCUCGGCAUCUCCGGGCUUGUGCAGGGGUGGUCCUGCUGCCUCUGCAGGAUGACGGCACCCGCAGCCCCUGCCGUCCUGUCUGAGAGAGCGUGUCAGAAAGCUCCGAGGUCCGCAGCUGCCCUUUCAGAGCAAAAGCAUCCUCUGGGUAGCUGAAGCUUG
Molecule: long non-coding RNA, 301 nt
Filed under: Felis catus (domestic cat)
Lineage: Eukaryota; Metazoa; Chordata; Mammalia; Carnivora; Felidae
Description: lncRNA (ENSFCAG00000045226.2)
Source: RNAcentral